This 264-nucleotide unclassified non-coding RNA is filed under the name Moritella viscosa. RNAcentral describes it as "putative sRNA". Lineage: Bacteria; Pseudomonadati; Pseudomonadota; Gammaproteobacteria; Alteromonadales; Moritellaceae. The record is from RNAcentral.
UAUCGCAAUUCCACCAAUGGAAGUAUUAAUAUUCAUACCUAUGUCAGGAUAACCACUCUCGCUAUUAACUGAAAAAGAAAGAGGAUUAGCACUGAGCACGUCGUUAGCCUUAAUGCUAAGUCUGAAUAUUUGCCUAUCGCUGUGUUAUAUUUCCAUUCCUGAACUGCCACUACCGUGUAGAAAUGAUAUGUAAUAGAUAAGAGGAUAAUAAUUUGCGUCGCGAUGUGGCUAAUUUCUAAUAUUGUAUCGGUAUGCAUGGUGUAG